This 497-nucleotide ribosomal RNA is filed under the name uncultured bacterium. RNAcentral describes it as "partial 16S ribosomal RNA". It matches the Rfam family "Bacterial small subunit ribosomal RNA", at positions 28 to 507 of the family's 1533-position model. The record is from RNAcentral.
GAUGAACGCUGGCGGCGUGCCUAAUACAUGCAAGUCGAGCGAACAGACGAGGAGCGUGCUCCUCUGACGUUAGCGGCGGACGGGGGAGUAACACGUGGAUAACCUACCUAUACGACUGGGAUAACUUCGGGAAACCGGAGCUAAUACCGGAUAAUAUAUUGAACCGCAUGGUUCAAUAGUGAAAGACGGUUUUGCUGUCACUUAUAGAUGGAUCCGCGCCGCAUUAGCUAGUUGGUAAGGUAACGGCUUACCAAGGCAACGAUGCGUAGCCCACCUGAGAGGGAGAUCGCGUAACGCGGAACAGAGCUACAGUCCACACUCCGCCUAGGGGACGCAGUCGGGAAUCCUCCGGAAGGCACGAAAGCAGAACGGAGCACACCCGGGUGAAUGAUGAUAGUCUCCGGAUCGGAGAACGCUGUUAUUAGGAAGGUUCUAAAGUUUAUGUAUCUUUGCAGAUAUUGACGGUACCUGAUGAGAAAGCCACGGCUAACUGCGUG